This 475-nucleotide ribosomal RNA is filed under the name Peptostreptococcus sp. canine oral taxon 033. RNAcentral's name for it is "bacterial SSU rRNA". It matches the Rfam family "Bacterial small subunit ribosomal RNA", at positions 9 to 449 of the family's 1533-position model. The record is from RNAcentral. Lineage: Bacteria; Bacillati; Bacillota; Clostridia; Peptostreptococcales; Peptostreptococcaceae.
GAGUUUGAUCAUGGCUCAGGAUGAACGCUGGCGGCGUGCCUAACACAUGCAAGUCGAGCGCGGUUGUGCUUAGUAUUGAGUGUUUUAUUGAUAUAAAACAUUGAAUUCUAUGCACAACUGAGCGGCGGACGGGUGAGUAACGCGUGGGUAACCUGCCCUAUACACAUGGAUAACAUACUGAAAAGUUUACUAAUACAUGAUAAAAUAGUUUUUCGGCAUCGAAGAAUUAUCAAAGUGUUAGCGGUAUAGGAUGGACCCGCGUCUGAUUAGCUAGUUGGUGAGAUAACUGCCCACCAAGGCAACGAUCAGUAGCCGACCUGAGAGGGUGAUCGGCCACAUUGGAACUGAGACACGGUCCAAACUCCUACGGGAGGCAGCAGUGGGGAAUAUUGCACAAUGGGCGCAAGCCUGAUGCAGCAACGCCGCGUGAACGAUGAAGGUCUUCGGAUCGUAAAGUUCUGUUGCAGGGGAAGAU